UACGGAGGGUGCAAGCGUUAUCCGGAUUCACUGGGUUUAAAGGGUGCGUAGGCGGGCAGGUAAGUCAGUGGUGAAAUCUCUGAGCUUAACUCAGAAACUGCCGUUGAUACUAUCUGUCUUGAAUACUGUGGAGGUAAGCGGAAUAUGUCAUGUAGCGGUGAAAUGCUUAGAUAUGACAUGGAACACCUAUUGCGAAGGCAGCUUGCUACACAGUAAUUGACGCUGAGGCACGAAGGCUAGGGUAGCGAAAGGG
Molecule: ribosomal RNA, 253 nt
Filed under: uncultured bacterium
Lineage: Bacteria
Description: partial 16S ribosomal RNA
Rfam family: Bacterial small subunit ribosomal RNA
Source: RNAcentral